AUGGCCUGGACUCUGCUCCUCCUCCAGUUCCUCCUCACUUGCUGCCCAGGGUCCAAUUCUCAGGCUGUAGUGACUCAGGAGCCCUCAAUGACUGUGUCCCAGGAGGGACCAGUCACUCUCACCUGUGUACCAGCGCACUGGGUGCUGAUCACCAGUGGUAACUAUCAAGCUGGUUCAGCAGAAACCUGGACCCCCAGGACACUGAUUUACAAUACAAACAGCAGAGCUCCUGGACCCUGCCCGGUUCUCGAACCCUCAGCUGGGGGCAAGCUGCCCUGACACUGGCCAGCCGAUUGCACAGCCGAGGAACCGAGGCUGAGUAUUACUGCUCGCUGUACUAUAGUGGUGCUCAGCACAGUGACAGACUCGUAAGAGGAACCAAGACAUAAACCUCCCUAGGCCCUUGUGAUGUGGAGAUCACAUGAUCAGACAUACUAGCUCUCAAAGCAGCUUACAUGUGGACCAGUCAUAGGGGAAGGGAAAGGUAUGAAUUGAUUCCUAUUUCUGCUUCAGCCCUGAAGUGCAGGAAAUGUGAGAAUGAUAUGGGAGUUACUGGAUCCAGAAAAAAAAAAAAAAAAAGAGUUAAUUGUUUUCUAUUCCAAAAGGAACACUAACAGCUAGAUCAGAUCUAAAGGUUGAGCCUAAAUAUAUUUCCUCCAGAAAGAAGCUUCUUCAAAGUAUGGGCUUUCUGAGCUAAGAGCAAAGACAAGAAACUAUUCUUUUUGUAUAUUACUCAAGGUUGUUUUAUUGAGUUACUAUCAAAGAAAUACAUGCCUAUUAUAUAAAAUAAGAAUAUUAAAAACCACCAAGUUCACUGUAAAGCUAUCUCAUCGCAAUCAACAUAAUUACAUUACUUCAUUUGGAAGCAUUCUUUCAUUAUUGUUCUCGAUAUUUCCACAGAGGUGAUCAAACCUUGUGCUUAUUUUUUUUCUGAUUUUACACAUCUUUUAAGCUUAAUGUGAGUAGUGUUCCAUUCUUCAAAAGGAUAAAAUAUUUGAAUCAUUUUUAAUUUUUAAAAAUUUUUUAUUAUACUUUAAGUUCCAGGGUACAUGUGCACAAUGUGCAGGUUUGUUAAUUUUAUUUUGAUUUGAGUACCAAUAAAAAAAUACAGUUAUAUAGGUAAUUCCAAUUGUUAAAUUUUCAUACAAAGAUGGGAUAUUGUGUUAUUAUUAAAAGAUGCCUGGUUAUUUCUGCAGAUUUAGUGCAGUUAGGGAAAAUGCCUGCAAUUUUCAAUGCAAAGCCUGGAGUACACUAUGCCUGACUUCACAACACACAACCUAGAGAAACAAGGGUUUCCAGCUCAUGUUUGCUGGAGCAUAAUAGAUUCGGUACCAGGAACAAUUUAUAUGCAAAACUAUUUCAAUGUCUUCAUGCAUGUGUUGGAACAGUACAUCUCAAAUUUUAUUGUGCAUACAAAUUAUCCGGGGAUCUUACAAAAUACAGUUUCUGAUUGAAUGAGUAUGAAUUGCUGAUGCAGUCUCUGCAUUUCCAAAAUGUGCCUGCCACAGAAAAUCCACAUAUAUGUUUCAAUAGUAACAAGUCCAGCCAGGAGCAGAGGCUCACGUGUGUAAUCCUAGCACUUUGGGAGGCUGAGGCAGGAAGAUUACUUGAGGCCAGGAGUUUGAGACCAGCCAAGGUCAACAGAGCAAGAUCUUUUCUCUAUGGUUGUAUGUUUUUAACAUGAAAAAGGAAUUAGCUGGGAAUUGUGCUAUAGGCUUGUAGUCCUACAUACGAAGGAGGCUGAGGCAGGAGACGAGCUUUAGCCCAGGAGUUAAAAGCUGCAGUGAGCCAUGAUCAUGACACUGCACUCCAGCCUGGGUGGCAGAGUGAGAUCUUGUCUCUAAUAAUAAUAACAAUAAGUCCAUAAGAACAGUAUAAAAUAAAGAGAACCCUUGGCAGACAAGAGCUUAAGGAAAAUCUCUGACAGGGAAUGAAUGAGGUUGGAUGAUAGAAGCACCCACACUCCGUGGAGGGAGAUGACCAGGGAGGACAGCGGCAAAGCUGGGAGAGGCUCCCCUUUCUUUACAAACAAAAACAAAAGCAAACAAACAACAAAGCUGACCUCCCCUCUGGCUCCCGUCCAACAUUCUUACUGGCUUCUCUUGCGUUCUUUUCUAUAGUGUAGCCCAUCCUUACGCACCCCCUUCCACAUCUCUGAUUCCUGAAUUCCCUUCUUGGGUCCCUCCCCUUUUCCUACCACCAUUUCUCCCCUCUGACUUCCUGAGUUCAUUAUCAAGGGCUUUAUAACAGAAAACUGGUUGCAUUUUUCUAGAUCUGUCCUUGAAAGUUGACACUCAUAUUUUUAUUCUCUUUCUUGAACUUCUCUGAUACUCUUAGUUUUGAAGAAGCCUGAAGUUUUGGCUGAUUCUCUUUCUUCACCUCAGCCGGGUCCUCCUCCUUCUCCUUCCUGGGCUUCUCGGUAUUUCCAGUGAAUCCAGUGAAGCACACAAAUAUGCUAAUCAAUUCUCCCCAACGCCCACCGCUCCGUCUUAUGUGCUGAUCUAGCGAGGAAUUAAAUAGGAAGAGAGACCCUUGGGUUUCUGUGCAGCCUGGGAAGUGAGUUCACGGCUAGACUCAGCUGGGACACCAGACACCUGCUGCCUGUUGAUGGUUAGUGGUCCCGGGGUCCUGCAGCAGCUGUGUCCUCCCAGGGUGCCUUGAGAGUCACUGACCACGCUCUCCUACCUCCCACUCACCUCUCCUCGAGGAGGACAACCAGACUCAGCAUCCUUUGUGAGGAGUACAGCCAGAGAUCAGCAUAGAUUUGCAUUCAGUCCUUUCCUCUAAAAGAUGCCACAGAAGAAGGGCUGUUCUGCCUAAUCUGUGUGGCUCAGGAAGCAGAGCUCUAGAGACAUCUCUACCAUGAAGUAGACCCCUCCUCCUCUCCCUCCUCAGUCUCUGCACAGGUGGCUAGGGACAGAAGGCAGGGACUGGCACUGGGAGGAUCAGAGCUCUGCCUUGCUCCCCUGGCUCAUGGAACCACCUCCCACAUCCUGUGUCUCUCUCCUGACUCUCAGGACCCUGGGCAGUCGGGGCUCACUUGGUAGCCUGCACAGUCUGUCUGUGAUGAAACCAGUCACCAUCUCCUGGAAGCAGUAGCAAAAAGGUUCUUGGAAUUGUAUCCUGGUACCAACAAUGACAAGAAAGGGCCUCCAAACCUCUGGUUUAUAGAAGCACAUAUCUGCCUGCAGGGAUCCAGGAUGGAUGCUCAGGCUACCAGUUUGGCAAGGAGGCCUUCCCAAGCAUCUCUGAGCUUCAGGCUGAGGACAACACUGAUCUCAACUGUUGGCUUCAGACAGCCCCCUGGAGGCACUGUUUGUGCUGCAGUCUGUGGGAGUGAGACAGGAACAUGUCAGGUCUCCUAGGAGUAUAACCUAACUGCAGCACCACAUACAACCAGGACAGCAGGGCUGUUUACCAUUUGUGUGCGUGUUUGCUGGUGCUGCUGCUAACCAGGGUCCAGGGCUCAGAUUAGGGACAGUGAUCUAGAGAAUGCUGCUUUGUUUUCUCAGGGCCAGACUUCAGAGAGAGCCCUUAGCCACAGCAUUGUCAGACUGCCUCAGAAGAAUCAGAAAGUCCUUGAUUUCUGGAACAGGCUGCCCUGGGAACAGAGUCAUGAUAGGCCAGGGCAAGCAGGGACAGAAUCCAGCUGAGUCUGUCUCAGGCACAUGCACUAAUAAAGAUCUCUGUUUUUCCUUAUUGUUUAUUGAUCACCUAUUAUGUAUGAAACAGUUGUAAAUAAAACUUUUGCUGAAUUACUGCCUUUAACAUAUUUUGGGUCCUUUAUUUUUCCUGCAAAAUUUUCAUUAUUCACUGUCUUUUUGAACAGCCCCUAGCUGCCCUUCCACCUGACUCCAUAGCUAACCCAUUUUCCAUGAUGCCCACUCUGAUGGCACAUGUGGGUAAAUAGAUUUUCCUAAAAUGCUCUUCUGGGGUGCUGACACCUUUAAAAGUUGUAUAUGUACAGGUCUACACAUCCCACAGACCAAGACUGCUUAUGGGAGUGAGAAAUCACAGUAAUAAUGAAUAGGAUGAGAGAAGCAAUAUCUAGGAAUCAGACCAUGCGUAUGUGAAUACAGACAGUGACUAGAGAGCUGCAGAGACCAGCGGGGUUCUGAGGUCUCUGAGCCAUGGGAAAGUGAGUGUCCUGGUACCAACAUCGGAUGUUGUGUGGCUGCCCUGUGGUUCCUACACGGCUGCUCAGUAAGGACCAUUCAAUCAAAGAAAUCCAGGCCUGGGAGCUGGGCCCUGAUGGGCACUUGGCCGCUGUGUCCCCUCUGGCCUGGCAGAGUUCCCUGAGCAGGGUCCUGUGUAUGGUCUCAACAGGUGCUUCCUCCCAGGGCCUUGCAAAACGAAAAGCAAACCUUCCUCCUGCUCAGUCUGCAGAGUGAGCUGAGCUGCAUCCCCAGGGCUCAGGGAGGGGCUGGGCAGUCCCUGGGUGGAAACACAUUUGCAUGAGCAGCCCCUCCUCUGCAGAGGGUGGGAAGAAAAGGAGGCCUGGGGCAGCCCAGUCCCACUGCGGGGAAAGAGGCUGUGUCCACCAUGGCCUGGACUCCUCUCCUCCUCCUGCUCCUCUCUCACUGCACAGGUAGGAACAGGCCUCAGAGACCAGGGUCAGCCACCCAGCCUGAUUCCGACUCUUCUGUCAAAGAUCGCUAAAACAUGUGACCCUGGU
This 4675-nucleotide long non-coding RNA is filed under the name Papio anubis (olive baboon). RNAcentral describes it as "lncRNA (ENSPANG00000050723.1)". Lineage: Eukaryota; Metazoa; Chordata; Mammalia; Primates; Cercopithecidae. The record is from RNAcentral.